GGAGAGGUGACCGAGAGGCCGAAGGUGCUCGCCUGCUAAGCGAGUGUAGGAUGUAAAGUCUUACCGAGGGUUCGAAUCCCUCCCUCUCCGCCA
Molecule: transfer RNA, 93 nt
Filed under: Desulfarculales bacterium
Lineage: Bacteria; Pseudomonadati; Thermodesulfobacteriota; Desulfarculia; Desulfarculales
Description: tRNA-Ser
Rfam family: tRNA
About the family: Transfer RNA (tRNA) molecules are approximately 80 nucleotides in length.
Source: RNAcentral